AUACGAACUGUGCGAACGUUAUUCGGAAUCACUGGGCUUAAAGGGUGCGUAGGCGGUUAUCUAAGUCAGGUGUGAAAUCUCUCGGCUCAACCGGGAAACUGCGCUUGAAACUGGAUGACUGGAGUGAUGCAGGGGUGUGUAGAACUUCCGGUGGAGCGGUGAAAUGUGUAGAUAUCGGAAGGAACGCCAGCAGCGAAAGCGGCACACUGGGCAUUUUCUGACGCUGAGGCACGAAAGCUAGGGGAGUGAACGGGAUUAGAUACCCCGGUAAUCCUAGCCGUAAACACUGAACACUGGGGGAGGGAGGCUUCGGCCUUCUUUCCCGUAGCGAAAGCGUUAAGUGUUCCGCCUGGGGAGUAUGGUCGCAAGGCUGAA
This 375-nucleotide ribosomal RNA is filed under the name uncultured bacterium. RNAcentral's name for it is "bacterial SSU rRNA". It matches the Rfam family "Bacterial small subunit ribosomal RNA", at positions 523 to 898 of the family's 1533-position model. The record is from RNAcentral.